Molecule: long non-coding RNA, 1866 nt
Organism: Arvicola amphibius (Eurasian water vole)
Lineage: Eukaryota; Metazoa; Chordata; Mammalia; Rodentia; Cricetidae
Exons: 3
Source: RefSeq, a predicted model, not a curated record
CCUUCCUAUGGCAUGCAGCCUCUCACUGUGGGUUCAUCAGUGACAAAACAGAGGAAUGAGGCUCCCUGAGAAGGACACCGGGUGCUGAUGGCACCCUGGCUCCCUUGGAGGUCAACCUUGAUCAUACUGGAGUCGCCUUUACCAAAUUCUGCCAGGCGAGGGCGCCCUGCGCCAAAUUUUGGCAAACCCCUCUCGCAGUUUGGACAACAGGGUCUCACCUGGAGUCCCCACCCCCGCCCCGCUCCCUUUCCUGGCUUCGUUGGCUAGCAAGCCCUAGCGAUCCUCUCCGUGUCUUGCCACUUCCUCUGGAGUUGCUUUGGAUUCUCACACGUGUAUAUAUCCUUUCUCUACACCUGGCAUGAGGCUGACGCUGGCAGGCAUCGUCCGCAUCCUUAAGACUCAUAUGAGUACCCCCAAUGCCGCUUUUAUUCAGCGUCACCAGGGAAGUCGCUGAUCUGCCAAAGAACUUUUCAGUAAGUGAGACUCGCCUCUAAAGACCAUACUGUUGGGUGGGGUUGGCAGUGUUGUAAAAAGUAUUGUAAAGGCCUCCGGAUUCCUCGCUCAAGUCUGAUAGCUCAGAAGGCUCUGAACCCCAAGUCUUGGGCAUCUCUUCAUCAUUGCAUCCAGCAAAGCCUGACCAGGACAGCCACCUGGUCAAGGCUUGUGGAUAGGAAUGGAUGACACAAAGGUUGAUCAGAGGUCACAGCACGGUGUCUAUUGGGAGGUUGGCCCCAAAGUUGUUUUUUGUGGUGGGCAAAUCAAUCACUAUAGCUUCCCUCUUUGAUGAUGUAUAGGGUCUCCAGGCCCACAUCUGCCCCCACCCUGUGUAUGCAAAUAUAAAUCCCUCAGUGUCCUCCCUGUGGUCCAGAAUCACCUUGAUGAACACAGGUUGGCACUCUCAUUUGCAUGGUACCAGGGGAGCUCUUUGCCCCGGUACCAGAUGUCCCCACAGUGCAGAACUUUCUAAACACUUGUGUUGGUAAUGAUUUGCCUGUCUUCUUCUUGGACGUCACUCCUGUUAUCAGUGAGUCGCCUCUCACUCCCUUCCUGACAAAGGUGAGCCUGCCCAAUCAAAUGUCAAGGUAAAAUAAACGAGGAGAGACCACGUGGGGGAAGCACCUCUAUUGCCAAUUUGCAGGAGCUAAGAUGAUUUCUAGACUUGCUCUGGAAAUAUAGGCAGGGAUGGUGCUGUGAUUUAAAUGGUGGUCCUCUGCCUAAAGAUGCUUCUAGCAUUUGUGGCUGUGGCCUUGCCUGUAAAACAACAACAACAAACAAAACAAAACAAAGCAAAAACAAAAACCUAAAUCCAAUUUUAAAUGUCCUUAUAAGAGAAGAAAAAGGAAAGAGAGAGUGAAGAAGGCAGAGGCGGGCUCGAGUUAAGCAUCUACAGACCAAAGAACGCCAAUCCUACCACCUACUUGGUGUAUCUUCCUCAGUUCUCUCCAACUUUAUUUGUUUAUUUAUUUACGUUUGAGACAGGGUUUCUCACUGAACCCGGAGCUUUCUGAUUCAGCCAACAAGCCCUGCGGUCCGCCUGUUUCUGCCUCCCCAGUGCAGGGAUUAUAGGCCUGCACGUCCAUCCCUGGCCUUUAAUUUAUUUAUCUUCAUUUGUACAGGUGUUCCUCUCUCUGUAUUCCAUAUGCAUGCUUGCUGCCUGCAGAGCUCUCGGGGGACAGUUCAGAACCAAACAGUAAUACCAAGGCCUGGCAACAAUCAUCAGAAUUAGUAGAGAAGCUUGGGACCGAAGGAACCCAGGCUACACCCACACCUUGUUUGUGGACUUCCGACCUCAAGAAAUGAGAAGGAGCUGGGCAGUAGUGGAGCAAACCUUUAAUCCCUGCAUUCUUUUGGGAUUAAUGAGGCAGA